GAUGAACGCUGGCGGCAUGUUUAACACAUGCAAGUCGGACGGGAAGUGGUUUUUCCUGUGGCGUGCUGGUGUGUCACGCGUAAGAAUCUGCCCUUGGUAAGGUGACCUCAACUUUAAACUGUUUCUAAUACCCCGUAGCCUGUACAGCAUAAGAAGUCAUCCGCCCGAGGAGGGGCUUGCGUAUGAUUAGCUAGUUGGUGAGGUAAUAGCUUACCAAGGCGAUGGUCAUUAGCUGGUCGGAGAGGAUGAUCAGCAAUACUGGGACGGAGACACGGAGCAGACUACGAGGGGAAGCAGCAGUGGGGAAUGUACAGCAAUGGGAGGAAGGAUGAAGGAGCAAUGCGGGGGGGAGGAAGAAGGUCGAGGGGUAGAGAACUUCUGUUCGCGGAGAAGAAAGAAUGACGGUAACUGAGGAAUAAGCAUCGGCUAACUCUGUG
RNAcentral lists this ribosomal RNA (437 nucleotides) under uncultured bacterium. Its description in RNAcentral is "partial 16S ribosomal RNA". It matches the Rfam family "Bacterial small subunit ribosomal RNA", at positions 28 to 507 of the family's 1533-position model. The record is from RNAcentral.